Molecule: ribosomal RNA, 495 nt
Filed under: uncultured bacterium
Lineage: Bacteria
Description: partial 16S ribosomal RNA
Rfam family: Bacterial small subunit ribosomal RNA
Source: RNAcentral
GACGAACGCUGGCGGCGUGCCUAAUACAUGCAAGUAGAACGCUGAAGGAGGAGCUUGCUUCUCCGGAUGAGUUGCGAACGGGUGAGUAACGCGUAGGUAACCUGCCUGGUAGCGGGGGAUAACUAUUGGAAACGAUAGCUAAUACCGCAUAAGAGUAGAUGUUGCAUGACAUUUGCUUAAAAGGUGCAAUUGCAUCACUACCAGAUGGACCUGCGUUGUAUUAGCUAGUUGGUGGGGUAACGGCUCACCAAGGCGACGAUACAUAGCCGACCUGAGAGGGUGGUCUGCCACACUGGGACUGAGACACGGCCCAGACUCCUACGGGAGGCAGCAGUAGGGAAUCUUCGGCAAUGGACGGAAGUCUGACCGAGCAACGCCGCGUGAGUGAAGAAGGUUUUCGGAUCGUAAAGCUCGGUUGUAAGAGAAGAACGAGUGUGAGAGUGGAAAGUUCACACUGUGACGGUAUCUUACCAGAAAGGGACGCCUAACUACGUG